AGAUAGUUUAAAGACCUCCUGUGCUAAUAGAUAGCGAAUUCUCCUGAAGAAGCUAACGCGAAACGUGCGUAGAGGACCACGCCAGGCAGUGACAGCUCACUCACACACAGCGGGAUAUCAGCACAGCCUGGAGCCCGACUACUGCACGGUGGUAGAAAUUACAGCCCAGGAGGCUCCAUAGUGAAGGGUUGUCAGAGGAGGACACGCCCGCCCCCAGGUUUCUACAAUAUAGGAUCCGUUCAGUGGAGAUCUUCUAUAUAAGACUCUUCUCCUGAUUGACCCAUGAAAGAUGGACAGGGACAAGAUGGCGGAGAGGAUAAUAAAUCUCACCCUAGAGAUCCUCUUCCGGCUUACUGGAGAGGACUACACAGUAGUGAAGAAGACGUCUAAUGAGCGCUGUCAGGACCCUGUGUCUGAAGGAUGGGGAAGAACCAUUAGCCCAAUCAUGGAGCCUCCACCUCACCCCCUGAUGUAUGAGGAAAUCAAUACAGAGAAGAUCCUAGAACUUACCAACAAGAUGA
Long non-coding RNA from Bufo gargarizans (Asiatic toad), 521 nucleotides. RefSeq lists it as uncharacterized. NCBI's taxonomy places the organism in Eukaryota, Metazoa, Chordata, Amphibia, Anura, Bufonidae. The record is from RefSeq and is a predicted model, not a curated record. The transcript is spliced from 4 exons.